This 77-nucleotide transfer RNA is filed under the name Thermoprotei archaeon. RNAcentral describes it as "tRNA-Arg". It matches the Rfam family "tRNA". Rfam says of the family: Transfer RNA (tRNA) molecules are approximately 80 nucleotides in length. Their secondary structure includes four short double-helical elements and three loops (D, anti-codon, and T loops). The record is from RNAcentral. Lineage: Archaea; Thermoproteati; Thermoproteota; Thermoprotei. RNAcentral also lists the same sequence under 2 other names.
GGGCCCGUGGCCUAGCCUGGAAAGGCGCCGGCCUGCGGAGCCGGAGAACCCGGGUUCAAGUCCCGGCGGGCCCGCCA